GCUGGUCGUGGCGCCGGCGGCGGGCGCCUCGGGCUCUUCCGAGGUCUCGGCGUCCGGCGCCGCGGGAGCAUCAGCGGGUGCCGGCUGCUCGGCCAGUGCC
RNAcentral lists this transfer RNA (100 nucleotides) under Microbacterium trichothecenolyticum. RNAcentral describes it as "tRNA-Gly". Lineage: Bacteria; Bacillati; Actinomycetota; Actinomycetes; Micrococcales; Microbacteriaceae. The record is from RNAcentral.